GGUCCUAUAGUGUAGUUGGUUAUCACCCAAGGUUUUGAUUUAAGCAAAACUUCCUUGUAACUCCGGUUCGAAUCCGGAUAGGACCU
Transfer RNA from Candida albicans SC5314, 86 nucleotides. It matches the Rfam family "tRNA". Rfam says of the family: Transfer RNA (tRNA) molecules are approximately 80 nucleotides in length. Their secondary structure includes four short double-helical elements and three loops (D, anti-codon, and T loops). Lineage: Eukaryota; Fungi; Ascomycota; Pichiomycetes; Serinales; Debaryomycetaceae. The record is from Rfam.